GACGAACGCUGGCGGCGUGCUUAACACAUGCAAGUCGAACGGAAAGGCCCUGCUUUUGUGGGGUGCUCGAGUGGCGAACGGGUGAGUAACACGUGAGUAACCUGCCCUUGACUUUGGGAUAACUUCAGGAAACUGGGGCUAAUAUCGGAUAGGAGCUCCUGCUGCAUGGUGGGGGUUGGAAAGUUUCGGCGGUUGGGGAUGGACUCGCGGCUUAUCAGCUUGUUGGUGGGGUAGUGGCUUACCAAGGCUUUGACGGGUAGCCGGCCUGAGAGGGUGACCGGCCACAUUGGGACUGCGAUACGGCCCAGACUCCUACGGGAGGCAGCGGUGGGGAAUAUUGCACAAUGGGCGGAAGCCUGAUGCAGCAACGCCGCGUGCGGGAUGACGGCCUUCGGGUUGUAAACCGCUUUCGCCUGUGACGAAGCGUGAGUGACGGUAAUGGGUAAAGAAGCACCGGCUAACUACGUG
This 468-nucleotide ribosomal RNA is filed under the name uncultured bacterium. Its description in RNAcentral is "partial 16S ribosomal RNA". It matches the Rfam family "Bacterial small subunit ribosomal RNA", at positions 28 to 507 of the family's 1533-position model. The record is from RNAcentral.